This 443-nucleotide ribosomal RNA is filed under the name uncultured bacterium. Its description in RNAcentral is "bacterial SSU rRNA". It matches the Rfam family "Bacterial small subunit ribosomal RNA", at positions 331 to 792 of the family's 1533-position model. The record is from RNAcentral.
CCAGACUCCUACGGGAGGCAGCAGUAGGGAAUCUUUCACAAUGGGCGAAAGCCUGAUGGAGCAACGCCGCGUGCAGGAUGAAGGCCUUCGGGUUGUAAACUGCUUUUAUAAGCGAGAAAUAUGAUGGUAACUUAUGAAUAAGGAUCGGCUAACUACGUGCCAGCAGCCGCGGUAAUACGUAGGGGGCUAGCGUUAUCCGGAAUUACUGGGCGUAAAGGGUGCGUAGGUGGUUUCUUAAGUCAGAGGUGAAAGGCUACGGCUCAACCGUAGUAAGCCUUUGAAACUGGGGAACUUGAGUGCAGGAGAGGAGAGUGGAAUUCCUAGUGUAGCGGUGAAAUGCGUAGAUAUUAGGAGGAACACCAGUUGCGAAGGCGGCUCUCUGGACUGUAACUGACACUGAGGCACGAAAGCGUGGGGAGCAAACAGGAUUAGAUACCCCAGUA